Oncorhynchus nerka (sockeye salmon) is the source of this 6478-nucleotide long non-coding RNA. RefSeq lists it as uncharacterized. NCBI's taxonomy places the organism in Eukaryota, Metazoa, Chordata, Actinopteri, Salmoniformes, Salmonidae. The transcript is spliced from 2 exons. The record is from RefSeq and is a predicted model, not a curated record.
AGGCUUGAGUGGUUUGCGGAAUGCUAGCUGCAUCCACAUACAUUAAUUUGUAAAAGCCUAACGAAUUAUCAAAUAAGCCUUACGUAAUGCAACACUCUCUUAGUCCUCCAUACAAAAAAAGGUUUAUUUCGCGGACAUAUUUUGGAAGGAGUAAAUCCUCUCGCUUUGCCUCUUCCUCUCUGUCCAUGCUCCGCAUUCAGACGUAAAUUGAAAAGUAUGUAUGAUACUUCGAUGUGCAUGUGAUUUGCAUCCGGUCAUGUAAAAUUGUAAUUAUAGUGGCAAUGACUGCAGAAAAUAGUCCGCUAGAUUCGUUAUCGGUCAGUAGUUUAGCUAGUUAACCAGUUAAAUUUGUUUUAUAAAUCUCAAAACACUGCGUCUGGUUUCGAAUAGCGAUUCAUACAGUGUUAUAGAUGUGCAGUAGCAACAAGGAUCGUGUGAGAUGAACUUUAAAGAGCAUUAUUUAAUUUUGAAUCAAAUCUAAGUGAAAGACAAGCAGACAAAACGGAUUUGUAUACAAUAGCACAGCAGACUUCGUUGGUUUUCAGCUUCUGGUUUCACCCGCACCCAUUUCGUUUGGUAUACAAAACACAGAGAAAAUGGCGGAAUUUGAGGACUAAGCACUGCCAAAACAAUGCAGGAGAAUCGAGAUGAAGAGGAGCCCCAAGAUACUGAUGACUAAGCCAGUCAAGAUGCAAGACAACGCAAGUUUUGAGGAAAAGCUCAUUGAAGAGGUAGAGGAGAUGGACACCUCAGAAGACCUGCAAGAUGACAACCUGAUCGAGCGGGACCUCUUCCACAGUUCUAAUAAUGAACAGCAAGAUGGAUAUUUUGUAGUUAGGAGGAAUGUAAUAUUAGAACGAACAAAAUUCAACCAAAGACAACAAGAAGCAGGAGAGACAGCUGAUGAUUUUAUCUCUGCACUUCAUUGUUUGUCAGAACAUUGUGGUUAUGGAGCUCUGCUCAGUGAGAUGAUAAGAGACAGACUAGUCAUGGGCUUAUGUGACAGAAGACUGUCUGAGCAAUUACAAAUGGACCCAGAACUAACACUUGAUAAAGCUGUCACACGCAUUCGUCAAACUGAACUUGUGAAAAAGCCAGAGGACCUGCCGGAGUAUACCUUCAAAGUUGCCAGCAAUGCAGCAAAUGUAGAGAGUGUGCUUUCACAUAGCAAACAGCAAUUCCCAGCUAAUACCCAGUGCCAAUCAGAGAAGAAUCAAAACUCAGAAAGACCACAACAAACCCAAACAACACAGGAGAAAGAAGAGGAGCCCGUAGAUACUGAUGACUCUGAUGAUUGGAUCGAUGGUUUCAGUCCUGGAGGAGAGAAGCCACACUACUGCUUUGACUGCGGUAAGAGCUUUAGAAAAGUGAGGGAUCUUAUAAGACACCAGAGAUCACAUACUGGAGAGAAGCCUCACCACUGCCCUGUUUGCGACAGAAGUUUUGCUCAAUUAGAUAAGCUUAAAUUACACAAAAAAAUGCAUAUGAAAGAGGAACAUGUCACACAGACGGAAGAAACUAAACUGAAGGUAGACCGUGUGCACACACAGCAAAGAACCGCCAGCAGAGGCAGGCAGAAGACUAAAAUGCGUGCAGAAACACCAAGAAAAAUAGUCCAGUCACAGCCAGGAAAAGAAUUGUCUUGCAAAAGUUCAAUUAGAAAGAAUCAACACUCAGAAAAACUGCGACAAUCCCAAACAAUGCAGGAGAAUGAAGAGGAUCCUGAAGAUACUUCUGAUGACUGGACCGAGAGUUUCAGUACUGUAGAGAAGCCAUACAUCUGCUCCGACUGUGGUAAGAGCUUCAAACAAGCGAAUCGUCUUAUAAGACAUCAGCGAACACAUACAGGAGAGAAGCCUUACAACUGCCCUGACUGUGACAAAAGUUUUGCUCGAUUAGAUAAUCUUAAAUUACACCAAAAAACACAUAUGAAGGAGGAAUGUAAUUUCCGCUGCUCUGACUGUGUGAAAAGCUUUGUCCGACUGAAGCAGCUUGAAAAACAUCAGCUAACACACAAGAAAAGUUUUGAAAGACACAGGAUACAUUUAAGCAAAAGAAAACAAUUUCUCUGCACAAUUUGCGGGAAGGAGUGUCGCAACAUGAAAAUACACAUGCGAAUACACACUGGAGAGACACCGUAUCACUGCACUGAGUGUGGGAAGAGUUUUCCAUAUACAAAAUCAUACCAAAGACACAUACUAACACAUAAUACCUCUGGAGAAAGAGCAACCUAUCCUUGUUUGGAAUGUGGAAAGUGUUUUACUCGCAGAGAUGGCAUGUUGAGACACGUGAGGAGGAUUCAUACUGGAGAGAGAAAUCAUCAGUGCAAAGACUGUGGAAAGCGAUUCUUUCGAAAAGAGACCCUGAAGAGACACAUGCUAGUUCACACUGGAGAGAAACCAUACCAAUGCUCUGUCUGUGGGCAACGCUUCUCCCAAGAUGGAGACAGAAAACGCCAUGAGAAGAGGCACUACUCUGGUGUCUCAAAUUUCCUCGAUUUAUAAUGCAGAAGUGGUGGAGGUACAGUAGCCUAGUGGUUAAGAGCAUUGGGCCAGUAACCGAAAGGUUGCUGGUUCAAAUCCCCAAACUUACUAGGUGAAGAAUCUGUCGGUGCCCUUGAAUAAGGCACUUAGUCCUAAUGGUUCCUGUAAGUCACCUUGAAUAAGAUGUCAUGUAAAUUGUGUUUGGCAUUGCAGGAAGUGGGAACCUACCUAAUCACUGUGACUUGAUAAUCUAAUAAUCUGUUAACUACAAUGUUGGUGGCCUGGAAUUGGCACCACAGACUGUUGAAGACACUCACAGACGGACUGUGUAUUACUGUCUUCAUAGCAGUAUUUAUUUUUUUCAAAAUCAAGGGUUGUAACCAGUUCAGGGAACCGGACUUAAAACAUGGAAAAUAACUACAUUAUUUGAGUAACACUAACUGAAAACGAAAGUGAUCUAUACUGUUCCGGAACAGAACCAUUAUUUUAAAAGUAUGGGAACCAGUUAAUAACAUUAUUUAAAGUUUUCCAGUCCCACAAAAAUCGCAAACAAAGCCCAUAUGCAAAGCCAUCUGUCACUCAAACUUAUUCCAGCGCCUGCCUGCCAGUUGGAAUUCUUUGCCAGUGAGUGUGUGUGUGUUUUGGAGACCUGCCCCUCCCAUCUGAAGCAUAGGUUACUGUAGACUACUGAUGACGUAACAAGUGUAAUUUUUAAAAAAAAUAGGCAGAGCUGUUUAAUAAAAUUAUGGAUUGAUUUAUACAAUUGGUCAGAACAGUGGAGAAAAAAAGUAAUGUUCAGAACGAAAUGAUUGGAAAAUAAUUUCAGUUCCGACCCAUGUUUUUAAAUAUAUAUAUAUGUAUAUGUGUAUAUAUAUGUGUGUGUGUGUGUUCAAAUAUCAAUUAGAACAAUAUCUUCAAGGACACAACGUUAAGUCUGAUAUAAUAUAAGCAAUUUUGGUGCCACGAUUACCAUUUUCCCAUUCACUAUAAUGACGGAUCCUGUUUCCUGGAAACAGCCUGCAGUAAUGCCGUCGGCCUUGAACUUCGUGAGCAGGGUGCAAUUGCGGCCUGCAAUUCGGGGCGUUCGAACCCCUCUUUAUACUUCUAUUUGUACAUUUUUAAGUUACGAGAGGCAGGGGCGCUCCAGUACAUUAGAUGGCAUUAAUGCACAAAGGCGUUGGAUGCCAGCCGCCGAUAAACCCCACAGAAGAAGGGAGGGGACGACCGGUAGCCAGGGGACGACCGGUGGACAGUGUCCUUCGCCUCCACCUGUUCUGUUAACGAUGGUCCCAAUCACAUUUCUGUUGAGUUCUGUUAACGACGGCGAGGGCAGGCGGGAGCGAAGGACACUGUCUACCGGUGUCGCUAGCUAGUAAGCAGGACUCGGGUAUACAGCAGGCCGCUAGCUGAGAUGCGGGGCGACCGGGGCACUGUACUUCACCCCAGCCUGUUGGGCACCGUUUUCCUGCAAUUCUGUUAACGGCAGUGAAGGCAGGCGGGACACAAGGACACUUUUGGACUUUCUAUACUCUGCAUUCAGACAAAGUGAAAACGUCUGUAAGCACUUUACGACAUUUAAACAUGCAUGUGAUUCGCAUAUCCAAUGUUUAUUUGACCUUGGUCACCACCAUACAGUUGCGCACACACACACCAUAUAAGUAUUUUUGUGCAUAGGAUGGACUGGUUCUGAAAGGUAAGAACAAAUAAUGUGGUAAGCUAUGCAAUAGGAAUAUCUACACAGGAAACAAUGGCAUAGCAUCUAUACAGGGAUAUUCACAUAACAGCAUACAUACAUGAACAUCUCGCAGAGAGCGAGAUAACUAAUUACUUUACAGGCGAGAUUGAUGGCGAGCUCUGAUCUGUGACUGGUGCCACAGAGUAAUCCAUUUUACUGCGCAUGCGGGAGCGCUGAAGACAGUCUGAAAGUUCUAGAAUCUCUGGCCGUGACUUAACACUAGCGUGACCUUUGAAAACGCAGCGCUAAAGUGCGCAUACAGACUAGAAAUGAACCAACUCUAAACAAUAACAUCUAAUGCAAAACACAUGAAAUACAAGCACUUAUAAACGACAUGGAGUAUCUGAAAUGUACAUAAACUGCAGCAGUACUAUACAGCUACAAAUGUAACAAUGGAGGUUGGUGGCACCUUAAUUGGGGAGGACAGGCUUUUUGUAACGGCUGGAGUGUAAUCAGUGGAAUGGUAUAAAAUAAAUCAAACACACGAGCUGUGUUCGAAUACCCAUACUAACAUACUUAAUGAAUAUAUACUAUAUACUAUUAGUUCAUUUUAGUAUACUGUAAACGAACGGUAUUGUUUCAGUUGAGCGUACUAGAACUUCGCCUGUCUACCGGACGUUGAUGCAGUUGCUAUGCAACCUCUUGCUAGCUUGUUAGCAUAACAAAUGACUAGCUAACAUUUUAAGAAUCAGAGUAGAUAGCUAGAAUGAACAAUGUCCAUCGACACGCACAACGACUAUAGUACUUAGCGAAGAAUAAUGUCAAUAAUCAAGUCAAACGUUAGUAGUUAGUUAGUUAAUAUACUGCCUGGCAAGUUCGAUGUAUUAGUAGCCAACUAACGUUAGGUAGCUAGCUAACAUACCGGUACAUACUGCUGUAAUCCUAUGCGGUUCGUAAGGAUAGCGUAGCUAACAAAUUGUCAGGCAACAUAAUGUGUAAUGUUACUUAUUUGAAAAGUCAUUACUUUAUUACAUUGCUCAACAUUUUCUUAAAAUUGUUCAGAAUUAGAUAAAGCAAUGAAUUUGUAUUUUGGUGUAUUUAGUACGACAUCCGGGAACUUUUGGCAUACUAACUAUGACCAAUAAGCAUACUAUAUACUCAAUUCACGUCACAAAGAGUAUGGUUAGUGCAGUUAGUAUGAGUAUUCGAACACAGCUACGGUUUCCAUGUGUUUGGUGCCAUUCCAUUUUCUCCUUUGCAGAUAUUAUUAAGAGCCGUCCUCCCCUCAGCAGCCUCCACCGAAUUAGGCCUCAGGUAAUUGCUUUCAGUCAAUCACCAUAACAUAGCAUUAACCCUCUCUAGACAAACCCCACAACUCACUUAUUGGAUGCACAAACAAUCUUCCUCAAACACACUGAUAACCCUACCGGCAUCCAAACUUGCGUCUUCGUCUGCCGAAUUCAGAUGACCAUCCUACCCAUGCUGGAUUAUGGAGACGUAAUUUAUAGAUCGGCAGGUAAGGGUGCUCUCGAGCGGCUAGAUGUUCUUUACCAUUCGGCCAUCAGAUUUGCCACCAAUAGGACACAUCACUGCACUCUAUACUCUUCUGUAAACUGCUCAUCUCUGUAUACCUGUUGCAAGACCUGCUGGUUGAUGCUUAUUUAUAAAACCCUCUUAGGCCUCACUCCCCCCAAUCUGAGAUAUCUACUGCAGCUCCUCCACAUCCAACACCUGUUCUGCCAGUCCACAUUCUGUUGAAGGUCCCCAAAGCACACACAUCCCUGGGUCGCUCCUCCUUUCAGUUCUCUGCAACUACUAGCGACUGCAACGAGCUGCAACAAAUACUCAAACUGGACACUGGACACUUUCAUCUCAAUCUCUUCAUUCAAAGACAAUCAUGGACACUUACUGAUAAUUGUGGCUGCUUUGAGUGAUGUAUUGUUGUCUCUACCUUGCCCUUUGUUGGGCACAGACAACAGCACAAUGUUUGCACCCUGUUUUGUGCUGCUACCAUGUUGUGUUCCUACCAUCACGUGUUGCUGCAUUGCUAUGUUGUCAUCUUAGGUCUCUAUGUAGUGUUGUGUUGUCUCUUCUAGGGUUGCACAUUUUGGGGAGUAUUCAGAGGUGGAAACUUUCUGUGGGAAUUAAGGGGAAUAUAUGCAAAUUAAUAUCAUUUAAAUGUAGAUGUUUUUCUGCAUUGGAUAUAUUUACCAUAUCAUAUGGAGACAGAAACAUACACCUUUUAGCUUAUCAUAAGUAGACAUCAUUGCAAAUGAUUAAAUCCUUCCAAUAGAAAUAAAAACAACUAUUUAGUUAUGAA